UGUCGGGGUAACGGCCCAACAAGCCAGUAAUCGGUACGGGUUGUGGGAGCAAGAGCCCGGAGUUGGAUUCUGAGACACGAAUCCAGGCCCUACGGGGCGCAGCAGGCGCGAAAACUUUACAAUGCGGGCAACCGUGAUAAGGGAACCCCGAGUGCCUGUAUAUGCAGGCUGUCUGGGUGUCUAAAACACACCUAAAGAAAGGGCCGGGCAAGACCGGUGCCAGCCGCCGCGGUAAUACCGGCGGCUCGAGUGGUGGCCACUUUUAUUGGGCUUAAAGCGUUCGUAGCUGGGUUAUUAAGUCCCUUGGGAAAUCCGACGGCUUAACCGUCGGGCGUCUAAGGGAUACUGGCAAUCUUGGAACCGGGAGAGGUGAGGGGUACUUCGGGGGUAGGAGUGAAAUCCUGUAAUCCUCGAGGGACCACCUGUGGCGAAGGCGCCUCACCAGAACGGCUUCGACAGUGAGGGACGAAAGCUGGGGGAGCAAACCGGAUUAGAU
This 496-nucleotide ribosomal RNA is filed under the name uncultured microorganism. RNAcentral describes it as "bacterial SSU rRNA". It matches the Rfam family "Archaeal small subunit ribosomal RNA", at positions 234 to 734 of the family's 1478-position model. The record is from RNAcentral.